Molecule: transfer RNA, 72 nt
Filed under: Bos taurus (domestic cattle)
Lineage: Eukaryota; Metazoa; Chordata; Mammalia; Artiodactyla; Bovidae
Also listed under: 1 other name
Rfam family: tRNA
About the family: Transfer RNA (tRNA) molecules are approximately 80 nucleotides in length. Their secondary structure includes four short double-helical elements and three loops (D, anti-codon, and T loops).
Source: Rfam by way of RNAcentral
UCCCUGGUGGUCCAGUGGCUGAGACUCUGUGCUCCCAAUGCAGGGACCUGGGUUUGAUCCCUGGUCAGGGAA